GCCCGGGUGGCGAAAUUGGUAGGCGCAGGGGACUUAAAAUCCCCUUCCCGCAAGGGAGUGCGGGUUCGAGUCCCGCCCCGGGCACCA
This 87-nucleotide transfer RNA is filed under the name Acidobacteriota bacterium. Its description in RNAcentral is "Acidobacteria bacterium (hot springs metagenome) tRNA-Leu". It matches the Rfam family "tRNA". Rfam says of the family: Transfer RNA (tRNA) molecules are approximately 80 nucleotides in length. Their secondary structure includes four short double-helical elements and three loops (D, anti-codon, and T loops). Further hydrogen bonds mediate the characteristic L-shaped molecular structure. tRNAs have two regions of fundamental functional importance: the anti-codon, which is responsible for specific mRNA codon recognition, and the 3' end, to which the tRNAs corresponding amino acid is attached (by aminoacyl-tRNA synthetases). tRNAs cope with the degeneracy of the genetic code in two manners: having more than one tRNA (with a specific anti-codon) for a particular amino acid; and 'wobble' base-pairing, i.e. permitting non-standard base-pairing at the 3rd anti-codon position. Lineage: Bacteria; Pseudomonadati; Acidobacteriota. The record is from RNAcentral.